Molecule: ribosomal RNA, 1486 nt
Filed under: metagenome
Description: bacterial SSU rRNA
Rfam family: Bacterial small subunit ribosomal RNA
Source: RNAcentral
AGAGUUUGAUCCUGGCUCAGGAUGAACGCUAGCUACAGGCUUAACACAUGCAAGUCGAGGGGCAGCAUGGUCUUAGCUUGCUAAGGCCGAUGGCGACCGGCGCACGGGUGAGUAACACGUAUCCAACCUGCCGUCUACUCUUGGACAGCCUUCUGAAAGGAAGAUUAAUACAAGAUGGCAUCAUGAGUCCGCAUGUUCACAUGAUUAAAGGUAUUCCGGUAGACGAUGGGGAUGCGUUCCAUUAGAUAGUAGGCGGGGUAACGGCCCACCUAGUCUUCGAUGGAUAGGGGUUCUGAGAGGAAGGUCCCCCACAUUGGAACUGAGACACGGUCCAAACUCCUACGGGAGGCAGCAGUGAGGAAUAUUGGUCAAUGGGCGAGAGCCUGAACCAGCCAAGUAGCGUGAAGGAUGACUGCCCUAUGGGUUGUAAACUUCUUUUAUAAAGGAAUAAAGUCGGGUAUGCAUACCCGUUUGCAUGUACUUUAUGAAUAAGGAUCGGCUAACUCCGUGCCAGCAGCCGCGGUAAUACGGAGGAUCCGAGCGUUAUCCGGAUUUAUUGGGUUUAAAGGGAGCGUAGAUGGAUGUUUAAGCCAGUUGUGAAAGUUUGCGGCUCAACCGUAAAAUUGCAGUUGAUACUGGAUAUCUUGAGUGCAGUCGAGGCAGGCGGAAUUCGUGGUGUAGCGGUGAAAUGCUUAGAUAUCACGAAGAACUCCGAUUGCGAAGGCAGCCUGCUAAGCUGCAACUGACAUUGAGGCUCGAAAGUGUGGGUAUCAAACAGGAUUAGAUACCCUGGUAGUCCACACGGUAAACGAUGAAUACUCGCUGUUUGCGAUAUACAGCAAGCGGCCAAGCGAAAGCGUUAAGUAUUCCACCUGGGGAGUACGCUGGCAACGGUGAAACUCAAAGGAAUUGACGGGGGCCCGCACAAGCGGAGGAACAUGUGGUUUAAUUCGAUGAUACGCGAGGAACCUUACCCGGGCUUAAAUUGCAGAUGAAUUACGGUGAAAGCCGUAAGCCGCAAGGCAUCUGUGAAGGUGCUGCAUGGUUGUCGUCAGCUCGUGCCGUGAGGUGUCGGCUUAAGUGCCAUAACGAGCGCAACCCUUGUUGUCAGUUACUAACAGGUUCUGCUGAGGACUCUGACAAGACUGCCAUCGUAAGAUGUGAGGAAGGUGGGGAUGACGUCAAAUCAGCACGGCCCUUACGUCCGGGGCUACACACGUGUUACAAUGGGGGGUACAGAGGGCCGCUACCACGCGAGUGGAUGCCAAUCCCCAUAACCUCUCUCAGUUCGGACUGGAGUCUGCAACCCGACUCCACGAAGCUGGAUUCGCUAGUAAUCGCGCAUCAGCCACGGCGCGGUGAAUACGUUCCCGGGCCUUGUACACACCGCCCGUCAAGCCAUGGGAGCCGGGGGUACCUGAAGUGCGUAACCGCGAGGAGCGCCCUAGGGUAAAACUGGUGACUGGGGCUAAGUCGUAACAAGGUA